RNAcentral lists this long non-coding RNA (799 nucleotides) under Homo sapiens (human). Its description in RNAcentral is "HSALNT0207902". Lineage: Eukaryota; Metazoa; Chordata; Mammalia; Primates; Hominidae. The record is from RNAcentral.
UUUUCCUUCAUGGAGCAUCAUCCCUUACUCCAUCUCUUUGAAUCUCCUAUUUGGCUCACAUCCUUCCCUUAAGAGGAACAAGCUUGGUUGUCCAUCUAAAGUAAUGGACUUAAAAAAAGAUUAGAGUUUCACUUCACAAACUCUGCUAUUCACCAACACGGGACCUCAAACAAGGCACUUAUCUUCUCUUUUCUACCAGGGAAAUGCUAACAUUCUUUGUUUCUUAUAUCACAAAUACACAAACUUAGUAAGUCUGGUGGUGGGACACCCUGCAUCCUGAGCACAGGUGAAAGUCUACGGUGUCUCUAAAACAGUAGAAGCGAGGGUUACCUACAAGACAGUCCUGUUUUGAGCCUUAAUAAAAAUGCCUUGAAUGAAAUGGCGACCCCCAUGUGGUGUUGGGUUCUUUCUUUUUUCCAAUGCUUAGGGAAAAAUUACAAUGUAUGUAAAUGUUCAGUGAUGCUGAGAUUUUCUUGGCUAGAUAGCACCUGCCAAACAAAGCUUCCUCUUGGAUGUAAUGAGUUUUGGGCCCCCGAUCACCUAUUAGACUACAGGUAGGUGAAGGGAAGGGAGAUAGCCAAGAAGAGGAAUGACUACAUUAUUGUUUGUUGACUGAGUGUUAUCUCCCAGGCUAUUAACCAGUCCUCUAAUCUAGAUCUCAGGGGCUUGAGCUCAUCCCAUAGUGUUUGCGCUAAUGUUUUCUCUUGCUCCAUUAAAUGACAGUUCUAAAUGACAGGACCUCAUAUCUUCUCUACAAUAAGAUAGAUUACAAGCGUGGUUUUUUUUCAUAGUUUAAAAA